CCUACGGGAGGCAGCAGUGAGGAAUAUUGGUCAAUGGGCGCGAGCCUGAACCAGCCAAGUCGCGUGAGGGAGGACGGCCCUACGGGUUGUAAACCUCUUUUGCCGGGGAGCAACGGGCGUCACGUGUGGCGCCACUGAGAGUACCCGGAGGAAAAGCAUCGGCUAACUCCGUGCCAGCAGCCGCGGUAGUCCGGAGGAUGCGAGCGUUCUCCGGAUUGAUUGGGUUAAAAGGGUGCGUAGGCGGAUCGUUAAGUAAGUGGUCAAAGGGAGGGGCUCAACCCCGUACCGCCAUUGAAACUGGCGCUCUUGAGUGGAAGAGAAGUAUGCGGAAUGCGUGGUGUAGCGGUGAAAUGCAUAGAUAUCACGCAGAACCCCGAUUGCGAAGGCAGCAUGCCGGCUUCCGACUGACGCUGAAGCACGAAAGCGUGGGGAUCGAACAGGAUUAGAUACCCGUGUAGUC
This 460-nucleotide ribosomal RNA is filed under the name uncultured bacterium. RNAcentral describes it as "partial 16S ribosomal RNA". It matches the Rfam family "Bacterial small subunit ribosomal RNA", at positions 338 to 795 of the family's 1533-position model. The record is from RNAcentral.